GCAUAUCAAUAAGCGGAGGAAAAGAAACCAACAGGGAUUGCCCCAGUAACGGCGAGUGAAGCGGCAACAGCUCAAAUUUGAAAUCUGGCCCCUAGGGUCCGAGUUGUAAUUUGCAGAGGAUGCUUUUGACAAGGUGCCUUCCGAGUUCCCUGGAACGGGACGCCAUAGAGGGUGAGAGCCCCGUCUGGUCGGAUACCGCGUCUCUGUAAAGCUCCUUCGACGAGUCGAGUAGUUUGGGAAUGCUGCUCAAAAUGGGAGGUAUAUGUCUUCUAAAGCUAAAUAUUGGCCAGAGACCGAUAGCGCACAAGUAGAGUGAUCGAAAGAUGAAAAGCACUUUGAAAAGAGGGUUAAAAAGUACGUGAAAUUGUUGAAAGGGAAGCGCCUAUGACCAGACUUGGGCCCGGUGAAUCAUCCAGCGUUCUCGCUGGUGCACUUUGCCGGGCACAGGCCAGCAUCAGUUUGGCUUGGGGGAAAAAGGCUUUGGGAACGUAGCUCCUCGGAGUGUUAUAGACCAUUGCAUAAUACCCUGGGCCGGACUGAGGUUCGCGCAUCUGCAAGGAUGCUGGCGUAAUGGUCAUCAGCGACCCGUCUUGAAACACGGACC
RNAcentral lists this ribosomal RNA (604 nucleotides) under uncultured fungus. RNAcentral describes it as "LSU rRNA". It matches the Rfam family "Eukaryotic large subunit ribosomal RNA", at positions 38 to 667 of the family's 3401-position model. Lineage: Eukaryota; Fungi. The record is from RNAcentral.